Long non-coding RNA from Raphanus sativus (radish), 1448 nucleotides. RefSeq lists it as uncharacterized. The record is from RefSeq and is a predicted model, not a curated record. The transcript is spliced from 6 exons. NCBI's taxonomy places the organism in Eukaryota, Viridiplantae, Streptophyta, Magnoliopsida, Brassicales, Brassicaceae.
CUUCCAAUUCAUCAGAAUCAAUUCGCCAUUUCUAUUAUAUUAAUCAUCAUCCACUCCCAUUCAUUCAAUAACGUUCUUCAAUCCUAUCUAAUCAGAUGCAUCCUUCCACCUCCCUGUGUUUCUUCUCAUAUAUAAAUCCUUUUGUAUCAGUUCACGUUGAACCAAAUUCUAAAUCCUCCCUAAGACAAUUGAUCGACCGCCAUGAUACCCGAUCAUGCUUCCGGGAAUCUACCAAUUCGCCAUCAUCGAUGAACACCAAGCUUCAUCUCAUCUAAUCGUGCUCCAUGAUACGGCCUCAACUCAAACCAGGAGCUAAUUACAUCCUGCAGAAUUUCUUCGCAAUCACAAUCGAGUAGAUGAACUGUUGGAUUGUAACCCAGAGAUUGCCAAGCUGGUGAAUGAGGAGGAGGUAACUAAGGCUGAGACAAUGACUAUUGGUGAAAUCUUCGAUUACAUCAACAAAGGGUUCACCAAGGUAAAACUUGAGCUGUAGAUAUGCCACUCAAAUCAACAUACCUAACCUGGUCUUUGACGAAUGCAUAAGGUUUUUUUUGUCUGCAUCUUCCAAAGGGAUUUGGAGACCUUGCUGAUGAGGGAAAUAGCAGCUCAAGUAAGAGUGGCGAAGCACAGGAAGCCAAACGUGCUACUCAUGGAAAAUAGUGCAUCAAUCGUUCAUGAUAAGAGGUCCACUACACAUGUCAAAGUGGUCCUUUUUCACUUUCCUUCCUGUUCUUAAGUUUUGUUCUGUUAUUGCUCUGUAAUAGAUCCUUUCAUAUCUUAAUUAUUUCGACAAAGCUCAAGUUAGACUUUGAUCUUUUUAUUGCUUUGUCUGAUUGUGUGGUUUUAGUUGUUUGCUCACUGUUAGCUCGCACCCUCUGACCCAACCAAGAAGAAGAAGAUGAGAGUUGUCAUUAUGGAUCCUAUCGAGGACUCAACAGAGUCGCAAGCGAUUCAGUGCUUGGUAGUGCCGAGAAACUUUGGUUGUUUUGUACACAUAUAUUACUUUGGCUGUUUCACUUCAAUGGUGUACAUACAUUACUUUGCCUUUAUUUAUUUUCACUGCAGCUUUUGAUGGCCUUCAGAGUUCAUUUGCUAGACAAAACUCAGCCAUCCUUAGAAACUGCAGCGCAUCAUAGAUGACACUACAAGGUGCUCCAGGUUGAAACAAAAUAACUUACUAUUCCGUUACAAAGUUUUCAGUCUAAAGACAAUGGUUUGGGAGAAUGUUCUGCUUGAUCAUGAAGGAAUUGUCUCCAAGAGCUGAUGAGGUUCGUUGUCUGUAAUUUGCCUUAGUAGCGGAAUCCUAACAUAUAGUUAGGUAUAGAUUCCUCUGCCAAAUAAUAGACAAAACUCUUUUUUUCACCAACUGAGAGAUACUUGAAACAAGCUAUUGUCGGAAAGAAUCAUGGUGUUUCAAGCUAUUUGCUAUCAUGAUAUUUGCAUGGUUA